RNAcentral lists this ribosomal RNA (620 nucleotides) under Eriogonum parishii. RNAcentral describes it as "eukaryotic LSU rRNA". The stretch from base 250 to 405 matches the Rfam family "5.8S ribosomal RNA". Lineage: Eukaryota; Viridiplantae; Streptophyta; Magnoliopsida; Caryophyllales; Polygonaceae. The record is from RNAcentral.
UCGAAACCUGCACAGCAGAACGACCCGCGAACUCGUUUACCAACCCCCCGAGGGGCAGGGCAUGCCCUGGGCCCUCGGAGCCGGAGGGCGCCGCCGCCUCUCCCCGUCAAAGGGGAUGGGCUACGGCGCACGAAGGCAAGUACCCAAACACCGGCGCGGGUUGCGCCAAGGACCAUGAAUUCCAUCGCUUCCCGCAGCCCCGGGCGACCGGGUGCCGCGGCGAAGGCGUGUCGAAAAAUUGAACACAACGACUCUCGGCAACGGAUAUCUCGGCUCUCGCAUCGAUGAAGAACGUAGCGAAAUGCGAUACUUGGUGUGAAUUGCAGAAUCCCGUGAACCAUCGAGUCUUUGAACGCAAGUUGCGCCCGAAGCCAUCCGGCCGAGGGCACGUCUGCCUGGGCGUCACGCAUCGCGUCGCCCCCUCCCCCUCCGCGGAGCGGAGAGAGGGGCGGAGUUUGGCCCCCCGUGCGCCCCCCGCGCGCGGCCGGCCUAAACACGGAGCCCGUGGCCGCGAGCGCCGCGACGUUUGGUGGUUGAUUCUUAAGCAUCGCGUCGCGCGCCGUAGCGUACUCGGAGCGCUCGAAGGACCCUUAGGCGCAGCAGCCUACCCUUGCGACCCC